GGAUGAGUACAAGGAGUGCAAGCUUGGAUCGUUGGUGGCAAUGUGAUGACCGUGAAGAUCAAGAAAAUGAAUGAGGAAGCCAAAACCCUCGAACCCAUUUUUGUUCUCAAAUAGGGUUUCUUGGAUUUUCAAGAAUCAAACUCUUACUGCAUUAUUGUCAAAUCCUUUUGGCAAAUAACACGUAAAUAUAUAGAAGAAGCUUAACUGCGACCCGUGACUCUUGUGGGGGAUGGAAACCACAAUAGGUAUAGUGUUUAUAAGUGUCGUAUAAAUUUUAUUAUAUGUUUUGGUACGUACAAACAUGUGUAAG
Molecule: long non-coding RNA, 310 nt
Filed under: Capsella grandiflora
Lineage: Eukaryota; Viridiplantae; Streptophyta; Magnoliopsida; Brassicales; Brassicaceae
Description: long non-coding RNA (CGRA_LNC001436)
Source: RNAcentral